Molecule: small RNA, 119 nt
Filed under: Nocardia seriolae
Lineage: Bacteria; Bacillati; Actinomycetota; Actinomycetes; Mycobacteriales; Nocardiaceae
Description: Actinobacteria sRNA Ms_IGR-7
Rfam family: Actinobacteria sRNA Ms_IGR-7
Source: Rfam by way of RNAcentral
UGAAAGUGUCUUUCGGAACUGGUCUUGAUUGUGGUGUGGUAACUCCAAUCUUUCCAGCUCAGAAGGCACUUUCUUCAUUUCAACACACCUGAAUCCACCGAUCGCAUCGGUGGAUUCAG